GCCAGUAUGGCCUAGUGGUUUGAGAGUUGGACUAUGACUCUGGAGACCAGAGUUCGAAUCCUUGCUCAGCCA
This 72-nucleotide transfer RNA is filed under the name Phrynosoma platyrhinos (Desert horned lizard). RNAcentral's name for it is "tRNA-OTHER". The record is from RNAcentral. Lineage: Eukaryota; Metazoa; Chordata; Lepidosauria; Squamata; Phrynosomatidae.